This is a non-coding RNA of Sturnus vulgaris (Common starling), 2690 nucleotides long. Lineage: Eukaryota; Metazoa; Chordata; Aves; Passeriformes; Sturnidae. The record is from RefSeq and is a predicted model, not a curated record.
UUAAGGGUUUUCAGCGCUGGUCAGUGUGUGAGCCUCUCGGAGCCGGCCCUGGGUGGGAGCGGGGAAAGUGGUUCUCAUUAGCGUGAGAUUUUGAAGGCGUUUGUCUGUGUUAGCGUUGUAAUGAGGGCAGUUCAUUCACUGCCUUGGUUUGGAGCUUCUUCAGCCGGCCAGGCGGCGGCUCUGAGCCUCGCUGAGGUGCUCUGGCUGUCCUGACCCCGGGAAAGUGCUCUGGGCAAUGUGUCCGGCAUCCCGCACCAGCUGCUGUUGCAGGGUCAGGCAGCAGUGAAAAGGAGCCAGUGUGCGUGUGCCCGCACUGAAGGGAGAGUAGGAAGAGAUCAGCUAUUUUUAGCAACAGAACGCGGUGAGAGGUCCGAGAGAGCGACUUAGGAAUGUCUCGGCCAUAGGGCCGGACGCUGAAGUCAGACAGCAGUGGGUUUCAGAUCUGUGAUAAGUUAGGGCUCCUCGCCUUCCUUUGUCACUUGCCAUGGCCUUGUGUAAGCAUGGGGGAUGGAAGAAUGCCCUUGAGCCAUUACAGUGCUUUUGUUUCUCUCCCACUGUCCAAGGAGAGAGAGAGAGAGAGACUUUAAUCCACGAGGAGCGUUCCUUGAGCGUUUCCGUGUGAGUUGUUCCAGAGGCGGUUCGGUGAACACGUGGAUUGCAGUGAUUUUAGGUUGGCUCAGCCCAGCAUUGGGCAGGGCUCGGUACUUCCUGGCAGCACUCCCAGGAGCAGAGCAAAAGCUGAACUUCCUUCCUCAGCCUGUAUCUGCUGGAAUCACGUACCUGGGACUGUGCCUUCCCCCACACUCCUGGGCUCUGUGCAGGGAGAGACCAUUGGAGAGAUUGCUAGAUUUGGAAGUUAGGUUCUGGACAUCCAGCAGAGAAGAUGGGUAGGUGUAAAUUAUAAACAGCAGGCUGAAUUGAAAUUGUUUCAGAGGAAAACAAUGACAUGAUUUCCUGUUAGUGUACUGAAACAGCUCGUCCUUUUCUCUGUCUUGGCUGGUGCAGUCCAGAUUCGUUUGCCAGGCAGGGAAUGUUUGAAGAUUGCACCUUGCACAAGUGCAAAAGCAAUGUUUUAUUGGAGCAGCUUUGGUAAUUUAACUGAUAAGCUUCCUGGGCUGGUCCUGCGAGGGGAGAAAGUCCAGCACUCUGGAGCAGAAGAGUUAGUUCAGUGUGCCUGUUGGCACUCGUGUCUCACAUUUUAUGGAAGGGGUUAUGAGACUUCCUUUGCUGCUGGGUUGUUAAAAUGGCGAAAUAGAGCAAUGAUGUGUCACAUUACCCAAAGAAGUUCAACUUUCUCAUUUCCAAAAAUAUGUAGUAUAUUUUGGCGGUUUCAUCAUACAAGUACAUCCCACUGCUGCAGCUGCAGUAAGACAAUUAGUAAUGAAAAAUACCAAGACCCUUUUCAGCUUGGUAGAAAAGACUUGAAGAAUCUCUAUGAAGAUAUUAAAAAGGAAUUGCUGGUCUCUGCAGCAGAACUUAAGGAAAUGUGUGAUUAUUACUUUGAUGGGAAGGGAAAGGCCUUUCGACCAAUGAUUGUGGUGCUAAUGGCUCGGGCUUGCAACAUUCACCAUAAUAAUUCCAAGGAGGUGCAAGCAAGCCAGCGCUCUGUGGCCAUUAUUGCUGAGAUGAUCCAUACAGCCAGUCUAGUUCAUGAUGAUGUUAUUGAUGAUGCAAAUUCUCGCAGAGGAAAAAGGACACUUAAUCAAAUCUGGGGAGAGAGAAAAGCUGUUCUAGCUGGUGACUUCAUCCUCUCAGCUGCUUCUGUAGCUUUAGCACGAAUUGGAAAUACUACUAUCAUCUCUGUUCUAACUCAGGUGAUUGAAGAUCUGGUGCGUGGUGAAUUCCUCCAACUGGGUUCCAAGGAAAACGAGAAUGAGAGAUUUGCUCACUACCUCGAGAAGACUUUUAAGAAGACAGCGAGUCUGAUAGCAAACAGUUGUAAAGCAGUAUGUUUCAAUUCUAGGCUGCCCCGAUCCUAAAGUUCAUGAGAUUGCAUACCAGUAUGGAAAAAACGUUGGCAUAGCUUUUCAGCUGAUAGAUGAUGUGCUGGAUUUUACAUCGUGUGCCGACCAUCUGGGGAAACCAACAGCAGCAGAUCUCAAGCUCGGAUUAGCCACAGGCCCCGUUUUGUUUGCUUGUCGACAGUUUCCAGAAAUGAAUGCUAUGAUAAUGAGGAGAUUCAGUAAGCCAGGAGAUGUUGAACGUGCACGGAAAUAUGUGUUGCAGAGUGAUGGUGUGCAGCAAACCACCUACCUCGCCCAGCGCUACUGCCACGCCGCCACGCGCGAGAUCCGCAAGCUGCGGCCGUCACCCGAGAGAGAGGCCCUCGUGCACCUGACUGAAAUGGUUCUCAUGCGAGACAAGUGAGGGAACUCCUUCCACUCCUUCUGGCAGCUACUUACCAGACUGUGCCUAAAUUCAUUUCAAAGGUUAUUUGCUUCCAACACAAGCUACCAAAAAUUAUUUUUUUAGAACAAAACCUCUUUUUUUUUUUAAAGUUCUACUUUUUUUUUUAAACAGAAGUUUAAAAUGUUUUACUGCAGGAAGCCAUGCAAUUCAGAGCAAAUCAAACUGUGCUGUACAAUUGUUUUAGCGGGGGCUAUUGAUUGUGGGGGAUGGGGAAGAUGUUUACAUGUUGAUGCACAAAGGCCACAAUGAGAAUAAAUAUAAAUCAGUGUAUGAAAACGGAA